GAUGAACGCUAGCUACAGGCUUAACACAUGCAAGUCGAGGGGUAACGAGAGGAAAGCUUGCUUUCCUUGUCGACGACCGGCGCACGGGUGAGUAACGCGUAUCCAACCUGCCCCCAACUAGGGAAUAACCUUGCGAAAGUAAGACUAAUACCCUAUAAUUUCCUCAGAUGACAUCUGACGAGGAAUAAAGAUUUAUCGGUUGUGGAUGGGGAUGCGUCUGAUUAGCUUGUUGGCGGGGUAACGGCCCACCAAGGCAACGAUCAGUAGGGGUUCUGAGAGGAAGGUCCCCCACAUUGGAACUGAGACACGGUCCAAACUCCUACGGGAGGCAGCAGUGAGGAAUAUUGGUCAGUGGCGGAAGCCUGAACCAGCCAAGUAGCGUGCAGGAUGACGGCCCUAUGGGUUGUAAACUGCUUUUAUACAGGAAUAAAGUUAGCCACGUGUGGUUAUUUGUAGGUACUGUAUGAAUAAGGACCGGCUAAUUCCGUGCCAGCAGCCGCCGUAA
Molecule: ribosomal RNA, 505 nt
Filed under: uncultured bacterium
Lineage: Bacteria
Description: partial 16S ribosomal RNA
Rfam family: Bacterial small subunit ribosomal RNA
Source: RNAcentral